This 759-nucleotide ribosomal RNA is filed under the name uncultured Prevotella sp. RNAcentral describes it as "bacterial SSU rRNA". It matches the Rfam family "Bacterial small subunit ribosomal RNA", at positions 28 to 776 of the family's 1533-position model. Lineage: Bacteria; Pseudomonadati; Bacteroidota; Bacteroidia; Bacteroidales; Prevotellaceae. The record is from RNAcentral.
GAUGAACGCUAGCUACAGGCUUAACACAUGCAAGUCGCGGGGCAGCAUGGGGGUUGCUUGCAACCCCUGAUGGCGACCGGCGCACGGGUGAGUAACGCGUAUCCAACCUGCCCUUCACCACGGGAUAACCCGGCGAAAGUCGGACUAAUACCGUAUGUUGUCCAUUGACGGCAUCCGAUUUGGACGAAAGGCUUAGCGGUGAGGGAUGGGGAUGCGUCCGAUUAGCUUGACGGCGGGGUAACGGCCCACCGUGGCAACGAUCGGUAGGGGUUCUGAGAGGAAGGUCCCCCACACUGGAACUGAGACACGGUCCAGACUCCUACGGGAGGCAGCAGUGAGGAAUAUUGGUCAAUGGGCGGAAGCCUGAACCAGCCAAGUAGCGUGCAGGAUGACGGCCCUAUGGGUUGUAAACUGCUUUUAUGCGGGGAUAAAAGAAUUCACGUGUGGAUUUUUGCAGGUACCGCAUGAAUAAGGACCGGCUAAUUCCGUGCCAGCAGCCGCGGUAAUACGGAAGGUCCGGGCGUUAUCCGGAUUUAUUGGGUUUAAAGGGAGCGUAGGCCGCCCCUUAAGCGUGUUGUGAAAUGCGGGUGCUCAACAUCCGACUUGCAGCGCGAACUGGGGGGCUUGAGUGCGCCGAAAGUAGGCGGAAUUCGUGGUGUAGCGGUGAAAUGCUUAGAUAUCACGAAGAACUCCGAUUGCGAAGGCAGCUUACUGUAGCGCAACUGACGCUGAUGCUCGAAAGCGUGGGUAUCGAACAGG